ACCCGCUGAACUUAAGCAUAUCAAUAAGCGGAGGAAAAGAAACCAACAGGGAUUGCCUCAGUAACGGCGAGUGAAGCGGCAACAGCUCAAAUUUGAAAUCUGCCCGCAAGGGCCGAGUUGUAAUUUGUAGAGGAUGUUUUGGGUACCGCCGCGGUUUAAUUUUCUUGGAACAGGAAGCCAAAGAGGGUGAGAGUCCCGUCUUGGACCGCGGUAGGGCUCGUGUAAAACUCCUUCGACGAGUCGAGUUGUUUGGGAAUGCAGCUCAAAAUGGGUGGUAAAUUUCAUCUAAAGCUAAAUAUUGGCCAGAGACCGAUAGCGCACAAGUAGAGUGAUCGAAAGAUGAAAAGCACUUUGAAAAGAGAGUUAAACAGUAUGUGAAAUUGUUGAAAGGGAAGCGCUGGCAACCAGACUCGAGCGCGGUGUUCCCCCUGGCUUCUGCCUGGGUUACUUCACCGUGUCCGGGCCAUCAUCAGUUUUGGGGACCGGUUAAGGGCCCCGGGAAUGUAUCGUCUCCUUCGGGGGACGACUUAUAGCCCGGGGUGUCAUGCGGCCUCCCGGGACUGAGGAACGCGCUUCGGCGAGGAUGAUGGCGUAAUGGUUGUCAGCGACCCGUCUUGAAACACGG
RNAcentral lists this ribosomal RNA (625 nucleotides) under uncultured fungus. RNAcentral describes it as "LSU rRNA". It matches the Rfam family "Eukaryotic large subunit ribosomal RNA", at positions 23 to 664 of the family's 3401-position model. The record is from RNAcentral. Lineage: Eukaryota; Fungi.